This 433-nucleotide ribosomal RNA is filed under the name uncultured bacterium. RNAcentral's name for it is "partial 16S ribosomal RNA". It matches the Rfam family "Bacterial small subunit ribosomal RNA", at positions 29 to 507 of the family's 1533-position model. The record is from RNAcentral.
AGCGAACGCUGGCGGCAGGCCUAACACAUGCAAGUCGAACGGAUCCUUCGGGAUUAGUGGCGGACGGGUGAGUAACACGUGGGAACGUGCCCUUUGGUUCGGAACAACUCAGGGAAACUUGAGCUAAUACCGGAUGUGCCCUUCGGGGGAAAGAUUUAUCGCCAUUGGAGCGGCCCGCGUCUGAUUAGCUAGUUGGGGAGGUAACGGCCCACCAAGGCGACGAGCAGUAGCUGGUCUGAGAGGAUGAUCAGCCACACUGGGACUGAGGCACGGCCCAGACUCCUACGGGAGGCAGCAGUGGGGAAUCUUGCGCAAUGGGCGAAAGCCUGACGCAGCCAUGCCGCGUGAAUGAUGAAGGUCUUAGGAUUGUAAAAUUCUUUAAGCGGGGACGAUAAUGACGGUACCCGCAGAAGAAGCGCCGGCUAACUUCGUG